This 496-nucleotide ribosomal RNA is filed under the name uncultured bacterium. RNAcentral describes it as "partial 16S ribosomal RNA". It matches the Rfam family "Bacterial small subunit ribosomal RNA", at positions 29 to 507 of the family's 1533-position model. The record is from RNAcentral.
AUGAACGCUGGCGGCGUGCCUAAUACAUGCCAGUCGAGCGAACGGACGAGAAGCUUGCUUCUCUGAUGUUAGCGGCGGACGGGUGUGUAACACGUGGAUAACCUACCUAUAAGACUGGGAUAACUUCGGGAAACCGGAGCUAAUACCGGAUGAUAUUUUGAACCGCAUGGUUCAAAAGUGAAAGACGGUCUUGCUGUCACUUAUAGAUGGAUCCGCGCUGCAUUAGCUAGUUGGUAAGGUAACGGCUUACCAAGGCAACGAUGCAUAGCCGACCUGAGAGGGUGAUCGGCCACACUGGAACUGAGACACGGUCCAGACUCCUACGGGAGGCAGCAGUAGGGAAUCUUCCGCAAUGGGCGAAAGCCUGACGGAGCAACGCCGCGUGAGUGAUGAAGGUCUUCGGAUCGUAAAACUCUGUUAUUAGGGAAGAACAUAUGUGUAAGUAACUGUGCACAUCUUGACGGUACCUAAUCAGAAAGCCACGGCUAACUACGUG